CUUUUCAAUGCUACAUUCAAACAAUUCAUUACAAUUCAAAAUGCGACAAAGUCUGCAGAUAUAUCCUCUGUGCAAGGCUGUUCGUAACUCCAAUACUCUACUAGCACUGUAACCAGAAGGACUAAAACAAACAACUCCAUAAAACAACAUGUUUUAGAAUUGCUCAAUCCCAUGAGGAAGACCACAUCACCCAAGGUGCACAGUGGGUAUCAGCAUCCAUUUUUCUCUACACCAUAUCCAAAAGACCUACAUAAUGACAUAAGCAAAUAGUCGACAUGCAAAAAAAAAGUGAUCUAGAAAAAAUGAUUCUAUAUGGCAAAUAUAUAGCUGGUUGAUUGAACCAACCAUAAUAAGAUUGACAGUCUAUGAUUACUGGCCCAGUAUAUAACUUAAGCAUUUUCUCUGAUUUAUGUCUCCAUACUUCAAGAUUCAAUCAGUCAAAUGCACUUAAAUCACACACUAGUUGUAGCUGUCUAUAUGAGUUGCUCUUUUAUGAGACCAAUUCAUCCCAAACAACAAUAACAUUAACAACUAUGCCUAAAUCACAAGCUAAGGGUCGGCUAAUUGGAUCCUUAUCCAUUUAAGUUCUCCGCUGCCAGAAGCUCUUUAUAUUUUCUUCUGACAUUCAAAUCUCGAACAAGAUUCCAUUAUUUUUUCACUAAGUCUUCACGGAAACCAAGAAAAUGUAAGUCUUUCGAGAAAACUUCCUUACAUGUAAUCUUAGGUCUACCUCAAUCCCUUCUAACACUUUCAAUCAUCAUGGUUUCACAUCUAUGGACCAACGCAUCGGCAGGCAUGACAUAGAACAUGACACAUCUAGAGGCUGACAUAGGACAUGACAAUACCUUCUUAAUCAACCUUCUCUUACCAUGUCCUCUAUGUGUGCUACUUCCACCUUCUGCAUGAUGUGAUUAUUUCUAAUCCUGUCUACUCUUGUCUGAUCAACUAUUUCGUUCCAAUACUCAAAGAAUUUAUCUUUAAGAUUUAUCUAUAACAACUAUCCAAACUUACCAUAACUCCACAAAGUGAUACUUAAUAGUAUAUGCAAUUAUGUGAAAACUAUGUUUGCUUAUACAGAAAAGGGGGUAUCACAUCAUAAAAAUGUUUAGUCUAGCAUGAGAGAUCCAUAAAAAUUUUGACUUUCCCUAAAGGCCUAAACCACACACAAUUCUUGACAAAUAUUCAAGAAUCUGAUUUACACCUUCAACCAGCACAUGCAAUCAUUAACUGGAAACAAGUAUAGAAACACAUACCCAACAUUGAAGAAACAAUCUUAUCCAUCAACAAGUUUCAUUUUUUCCCGUAAUAUCCGAGA
This 1315-nucleotide long non-coding RNA is filed under the name Nicotiana benthamiana. Its description in RNAcentral is "long non-coding RNA (NBEN_LNC034129)". Lineage: Eukaryota; Viridiplantae; Streptophyta; Magnoliopsida; Solanales; Solanaceae. The record is from RNAcentral.